This 294-nucleotide unclassified non-coding RNA is filed under the name Hevea brasiliensis (rubber tree). Lineage: Eukaryota; Viridiplantae; Streptophyta; Magnoliopsida; Malpighiales; Euphorbiaceae. The record is from RNAcentral.
AAUAUCCUUUGGCACUACAGAUCUUAUAAUUGUUUUAUACAUAUAUAUAAAGCGAAAAGGAUAGAUUCCAUUGUUAAAAUUACAAUAAAGACCCAAUUUUUGAAAUUACAAUAAAGACCCAGCAACUUAAAAUAUUGGUUUAUUGGACUUUUCUUUAAAAAUAUCUUUCAUAGUUUAGCUAGGAUGUUAUUAUGGACAUGAACUGGAAUUAAAAUAGUUAAUGGUGGGAGACUUGGUUGCUUAAUACUGUAUGGCGGUAUCCAACAAAGGAUAUUACAAUAAAAAUAAAUGCAG